Molecule: ribosomal RNA, 697 nt
Filed under: uncultured bacterium
Lineage: Bacteria
Description: bacterial SSU rRNA
Rfam family: Bacterial small subunit ribosomal RNA
Source: RNAcentral
AGAGUUUGAUCCUGGCUCAGAUUGAACGCUGGCGGCAUGCUUUACACAUGCAAGUCGAACGGCAGCACGGGGGCAACCCUGGUGGCGAGUGGCGAACGGAUGAGUAAUAUAUCGGAACGUACCCGGAAAUGGGGGAUAACGUAGCGAAAGUUACGCUAAUACCGCAUAUGCCCUAAGGGGGAAAGCGGGGGAUUCGCAAGAACCUCGCGUUUUCGGAGCGGCCGAUAUCGGAUUAGCUAGUAGGUGAGGUAAAGGCUCACCUAGGCGACGAUCCGUAGCUGGUCUGAGAGGACGACCAGCCACACUGGAACUGAGACACGGUCCAGACUCCUACGGGAGGCAGCAGUGGGGAAUUUUGGACAAUGGGCGCAAGCCUGAUCCAGCCAUGCCGCGUGAGUGAAGAAGGCCUUCGGGUUGUAAAGCUCUUUCAGCCGGAAAGAAAACGCACGGGUUAAUAACCUGUGUGGAUGACGGUACCGGAAGAAGAAGCACCGGCUAACUACGUGCCAGCAGCCGCGGUAAUACGUAGGGUGCGAGCGUUAAUCGGAAUUACUGGGCGUAAAGCGUGCGCAGGCGGUUUUGUAAGACAGAUGUGAAAUCCCCGGGCUUAACCUGGGAACUGCAUUUGUAACUGCAGGCUAAAGUACGCAAGGGGGUAAAAUCCCGUGUAGCAGUGAAAUGCGUAAUUGUGGAGAAU